Molecule: transfer RNA, 101 nt
Filed under: Afipia felis (cat scratch disease bacillus)
Lineage: Bacteria; Pseudomonadati; Pseudomonadota; Alphaproteobacteria; Hyphomicrobiales; Nitrobacteraceae
Description: tRNA-His
Source: RNAcentral
GCCCGGUUUGCAACGCUGGAGUCUGCCGCCGUUUCAUGGAAACGGCGGCAGACUCUACGCUUUUGGGGGUGACGCGUUUCCUUCACGCGAACCGGGUUCCA